RNAcentral lists this ribosomal RNA (497 nucleotides) under uncultured bacterium. RNAcentral describes it as "partial 16S ribosomal RNA". It matches the Rfam family "Bacterial small subunit ribosomal RNA", at positions 28 to 507 of the family's 1533-position model. The record is from RNAcentral.
GAUGAACGCUGGCGGCGUGCCUAAUACAUGCAAGUCGAGCGAACAGACGAGGAGCUUGCUCCUCUGACGUUGGCGGCGGACGGGUGAGUAACACGUGGAUAACCUACCUAUAAGACUGGGAUAACUUCGGGAAACCGGAGCUAAUACCGGAUAAUAUAUUGAACCGCAUGGUUCAAUAGUGAAAGACGGUUUUGCUGUCACUUAUAGAUGGAUCCGCGCCGCAUUAGCUAGUUGGUAAGGUAACGGCUUACCAAGGCAACGAUGCGUAGCCGACCUGAGAGGGUGAUCGGCCACACUGGAACUGAGACACGGUCCAGACUCCUACGGGAGGCAGCAGUAGGGAAUCUUCCGCAAUGGGCGAAAGCCUGACGGAGCAACGUCGCGUGAGUGAUGAAGGUCUUCGGAUCGUAAAACUCUGUUAUUAGGGAAGAACAAAUGUGUAAGUAACUAUGCACGUCUUGACGGUACCUAAUCAGAAAGCCACGGCUAACUACGUG